AGACAACACAUUAUGCUUCCAAUAUCUUCCCAGGCGGUAGUACCUCCCUGUUUGAUGCUGCUUACUACUGUAUACAGUAUAUUAUUUUAAGAAAACUGGUUACAGGAGAAAAAUAAAUAAAUUCUACUAAAUAUAUACUCCUUGCUGAAAUAGGGGGUGCAUCUUAUAUGGCCCUGUGUCUUGUAUGACGUAAAGUAUGUUAUUUUGGAGGGAGGAGGAAAAUGUUAAGAUUAUUUUUAUUUUCUUCUAAAAUACACAAGUGUAUUCAAUUUUCCACCCAAAAUUUCUGUUGUAUAGCAAAUCUUGCUUUCCGGUUUUUAAAUUUUCGUCAUUGCUCAUCCAUUUCCAGUGUAUAGCAAGUUUUCAUAAAACAGUCCAAAAAUCAGGGAUGACUGUAAAUAACCGGUUGAACAGAAGAAAUCCAAAGACCCGGUCUCAUUGUGUAAUCUAACUGAGGUACAUUACCAUUGUUUAACUGUUAACUGAGGUACAGUACCAUUGUUUAACUGUUAACUGAGGCACAGUACCAUUGUUUAACUGUUAACUGAGGUACAGUACCAUUGUUUAACUGUUAACUGAGGUACAGUACCAUUGUUUAACUGUUAACUGAGGCACAGUACCAUUGUUUAACUGUUAACUGAGGUACAGUACCAUUGUUUAACUGUUAACUGAGGUACAAUACUAUUUCUGACUGGUACCAGUAAGAGUUCACCUAAAUGGAAAGUUUGAAGUGUCGUUUCAUCUCUUGGAUUGAUGAAAAUAAAAUAACAAGUAAUUAUAUUUGAGGUCAAUAUAAAAGUACUGUCAUUAAUUUGCAUUAUGAGUUGACAAUUUUUUUCACCUUUGAGAUGAGAAUUUUGUGUGUCAGUACAGUACAGUGCUGGGGCUGCCCUAGUACUGUACUGUAUGCAGAACGUUACUCUUAUUGUCCCUAUAUGAUUACUUGUUGUAUUUGUUGCUCAUUGUUUGAAUGUCAUGAAACAGUGGUGGGUUGGGGUGUGUGGCAGCAGAAGCAGUGGAAUGCAGCUCAAGUUUUUACAUUUAAAUUUUUCCUUUUAUUGGACUUCAACUGUUGCACCUUUUGAGGUUAGGAAUGUCUGAAAAUACUGUAGCCAAAUUAUGUCAAAUUGCAAGUUAUAGAGUUAUGUAUUAUGAAGAUAUUACUGUAAUAAAAAAAAAACAUUUACUCAUCAAAUUUUUCAGGAAAUAUGGCUUUGAUACUUAAUGAUUUAUGGUAAGUGAAAAAAAAAUGCAUCUUGUGAAUUACAAAGCCAUUGGCCUCCUUCCAUAAGCUAUGUUUAUUGCAAACAGAUUGGGUUGUUUUAAUUAUUGUUGGCUAGACUUCACAAGCAUAGGCAUCUUGUUAUAGACAAAAAUAUUAACUACAGUACUUUUUUUACUUUUUACAAACCUUUAUAAAACAGAAAUAAAACUACAAACCUGAA
This is a long non-coding RNA of Homarus americanus (American lobster), 1445 nucleotides long. RefSeq lists it as uncharacterized. The record is from RefSeq and is a predicted model, not a curated record. NCBI's taxonomy places the organism in Eukaryota, Metazoa, Arthropoda, Malacostraca, Decapoda, Nephropidae. The transcript is spliced from 2 exons.